RNAcentral lists this ribosomal RNA (253 nucleotides) under uncultured bacterium. RNAcentral's name for it is "partial 16S ribosomal RNA". It matches the Rfam family "Bacterial small subunit ribosomal RNA", at positions 524 to 776 of the family's 1533-position model. The record is from RNAcentral.
UACAGGGGGGGCAAGCGUUGUUCGGAAUUACUGGGCGUAAAGGGCUCGUAGGUGGCCGACUAAGUCGGACGUGAAAUCCCUCAGCUUAACUGGGGAACUGCGUCCGAUACUGGAUGGCUUGAGUUUGGGAGAGGGAUGCGGAAUUCCAGGUGUAGCGGUGAAAUGCGUAGAUAUCUGGAGGAACACCGGUGGCGAAGGCGGCAUCCUGGACCAACACUGACACUGAGGAGCGAAAGCCAGGGGAGCAAACGGG